UAACAAUUUAAACUUCUAUAACCUUUCAUUUAUGUGUCCCUGAAUCCAUCAUUUUCAGGCUCCAGCUACUAUUUCAAUGAAUAAAACAUAAAUCCCUUAGAACAAAUGAGAAGGAAAUCUUCAUAAAACCUUAAAAAGAGAGAGAAAGGAAUGGGGAAGUGCCCAAACCUAACAGAGGAAUAAGUCGUUUCGGAAUGCAAGCCCAAAUAAAUAUUUGAACAGGAAUGGUAUCCUCAUGUGUGUGGUGAGAAAUAGGUCCGUUUCAGACUGCACAUUUUGGCAGGCUGGCGUGUUGACUUUAUCACCUUGAGACCUCAGGGGCUUCAAAUGCCUUCCCCGAGGCUUUAAUCACGCGCACGCGCAUGCGCACACCCAUAUCCCAGGGCGCCGCAGGCUGCAGGUCCAAGCCUGUGAGCCGCUCCCAGAAGCGUCCCGUGGCCCACCUCUCCCCUGCUCAGACGCCUCUCUUGGACGCCUGCCUGCAACUCCCCCACCCUGUUUUUGAAUCACUCUCCAUCAAAUGCCAUUUUAGUUACAUCCAACGUAACAUCCCUGGAAGUCAGAAUUCUCUGCGCAACAGGUAGAACUGACACUAUUUCUAUCCGUGGAUGAGUUCUGCUUUCCUCAUUUCAGUUUUAUGGUAAAACUCCACACAUUUGGACUGAGAGGAAAGGCAAGAGGCCAAUUAAAGUUUUUGAAAGUUUGAAUUACAGACUCUACUGAAAAGAAGCGUAGACCAUAGCAGCCUGAUUUUAAUGUGAAUCUGCUGGCAGAGAAGAGAUGCAUAUGUAUUUGAACAAUAUUAACUCUUUUAGUGAUCGCAAAACUUCUGCGCACGCGUACGCCCACAUGCUAAGGCCUCACAAUUUCUGCCACCUGGAAGUCUCUCAAAGUGUCUCAAAGUAAAUGCUUCUUUGCAGAAGAACUUUGAAAGCUACAUGUUCCAUUUGAGAGUUGGCUUAAACCAGAAAAUAUAGUCUGGAAAUGCACUGAACUGGGCAUACACACUGAAGCAAAUUGCAGUGUGCCAAAGGAGAGACAGAGAGAGAGGGUACCACUGUACCUCUCUACACUGUGGGCUGGCCCUUCUUCCCUCAGGACAUGCAUACCAAGGUUUACCUUUUCAUCACUUGAAGAACAGUGGUUACAUGAUUUGGACCCACUGAGGAAGGUAGAAUGAGAUCAGUUCAAAAGUAUUGGAUACCUGUGGAGCACUUUGCAAGAUAUUGCAGCAUUUUCUGGGCUUUCUAUAGAACUACACAGAAGUAUUGCUGAGUACUUUGCAACGUGAACCCCUGCAAUUUGCAGGAAUUUGCCACACUUUUCAGGUGAUCAUACUAGCAGCAGAGAGAAGAGCAAGAUAUACAGAACCUGCAAUUGAAGAUGAAACCCAAGGUCUAUCCAGAGUCCAAAGGACGUAUCAAUGAGCCCAUCAUCCUCAUGCAUGUCAACCAGACCACAAGCUCCAAGAGACUAAGAAUUGUAAUUUUUGUUCACUGUGGCAUUACUGGCAUGUUGUACAGGUCUGACACAUAGUACACAUUCAAUAAAUAUUUGCUGUAUGAAGUAGUGAACACAUCAUCAGAAAGCUUUGAAUUAGCCCAAUUUCUGAUAGGAACCAUUUAGUCCUGUAAUUCACCAGUUGGGUCAACAUUGGAAACAUUUUGCUUACAUUUGCAUUAGUAAUACCUGAAGUGAUGAGGAGAGCACUUCUUACAGUGUCUGUAUUCAUCUUACUCAACUUCUAAAAGGUUCCUUCUUGUUCUAUUAUUUUCAAGAUUUUGUGAACAUGUUUACGUUAAUUGUGCUACCUGUGGUUUAUAGAUUUUAUUCAUGUGCCUCUCUGUUUUGGCCUUCCUGGGCUGAAAUGACUAAAACAUUUAGGCCUGCCCAUGCACAGCAUCCCUGUACUCAUUUCAAUUACAUUAGUUUAAUCCUACACAUAUCGGGUGCCUCUGAUCCUGCCAAUGCCAGGCACUGUGCAAACUGCUGGGAAUACUGAGAGCAUUCUUUGGUCCAGUCAUAAUCUUCCUUGGGAUUGGAUAGUGUUCCCCACUUUCCUUCGGGUCCAGCACAUUUUAGGAUAAGUUCAUUGUUUGGGGUUUUGUUCCUAAUCACCUUCUUGGAGAUGCCGGAUCUGUAUUGGCCUCUUGGAUGCUUCUGUAUUGCUUUCCUGAUGUGGCGCUUCUCCCCACAUGCGUGAUCCACUCCAUUGCUCAAUUGCUCAAUGCUACUCUCAUCCCCAAAACCUCUACAAGGUGAGGUACCGUUAUCUCAAGAAUCUCAUUGUAUUUUCAACCUGUGUGGUUGUGCAGAUCCCGGUUUUCUUUUCCUAAGUGUGCAGGGGCUCGGUCCUUGGUCUAUUUCUACGUGAUGCUAUGGGGAGCACUGGAUUUGGAGUCAAAAGACUCAGCUUCCAGACUUAAUUCUGCUGCAUCCUAGCUGCAUGACCUUUGGCAAGGCAUUUAAACUCAUGAGCUUCUUUACCUGAAAAUGAGGUUAAAACCUACCUCACAAGUUUUCUGUGAGAAUUAAAAAAUACUACAGGUGAAAACACCUUAUAAGUGGUAAAGUACUCAUAAAUGUAACUUAUUAUUUGUUAUUGUCUGCAGUGACAUUUAGAGGAUUUAAGUGGAUAUACUGGGCUAUACAGUCUUCUGGAAGUUCAAAGAAUUGGGCCACCAGAGCAUGAAUUUCCCAGUUUUUCAGUGAGAACUUGACUCAGUGAUAUGUAUUUAUUCAAAGAUUAAUGAAACUGUCUAUGCAAAAGCAAUGUCAGUUUCUUGAAGGCAAGAAACUCUUUUUCACGGGUUUCUAGUUAGCAAUGAAGAAAUAUUAAAGAAACAAAGAGACCUUAAUCAAUAGCUUUAUUUGGUCUUCCCAGCCUGUGCUAUAGCUGACCUAGGAAAGAAUAAAGAAUGUUCUUUCUCAACAAUUCCUUCUAUAAGUGUGUAAUUCAGCCAACAUUCCAAGCAACAAACAUGUAUCGGAUGUUUGCUUUGUAGGUACUGUGCUGUUUAUCUAGAUGUAGUUUUCCAGUUGUUAAAUUAAGACUUUUGUAUUUUUUAGUUCAAAAGCAUCUAAUUCUCAGUCUUUAAAGCCAAAAUACAGAGUUGAAAUGCAGCUCUGGCUAUGGAAAAGUGAAUAAGACAUUAUUCCUGUCUUCAAGGAGCUUACAGUUUAUUUGGGGAGAGAGAGAAGUAAACAGCUCACUAUAACACAAGCCAGGGUACAACAGAAAGAUCAAUGACACUUGAGAAGCUGCACUGUGAUACCAUGUAGUAGGAAGCGAUUGUGGUGGGAGCUCUUGGGAGGUGGGAAAGGAAGGUAAAGAGGAUAUUGAAGAGCAGCGUGUGUUGUGAGAGAAUUAGACAAGGAAAUUCUCAUUUUAAUAAACUCUGCUUGGUUAGUGAUUUUUUUUAUCUUAUUUAUGAAAGAGUAGGAUUAUUCUAUUCAGAACAGAGUAAAGAAAAACAUCUGCUCAGAACAAGGUAAGGAAGAACAUUCCUGGCUAAGAGUGAAGCUUUGCCUGGUUGGCACAAAGGAUGUGUUUGGCAGAGGGUUGGGGGCAUGUUGGGGGGCGGGGAGAAGUGCAGUGUGUUAGGCACUUUGAGGACUCUCUCCAUGCAAAAAACAGAGACAGCCUUUAUUUCACAAAUGAUGGGGAACUAAGGAGGUUUGGAGGAACGAUUAUAACAUAAUUCAGGGGAAGGCAACUCUGGUAGCAAUUUGAAGUUUGGAUCCCAGGGGCAAGAUAAAAGGUCAAUGGUGUGAAAUUAUAAGAGCUGUGGAAGGUUAAAGACCAGCAAAGCAGGAACAGUGGUGGGGCAGUUUGUGGUUCUCAGAUUAAUGGACCUGAUUGGUGGGCCAGAUUGAUGGUCAUUGUAUCAGCAUUUGUUUCCCAUGCCUCAAUUUUGAACCAGAUUAGACUAUAUGGUGCUUUAUAAAGAGGUGUAGAAAAUAUAAGCCAUUCAUUUCAAUAGUCUCAUCUUAAAGAAGCUGACUUUAAAUGAGAAAUGUUAAAAUGUACACAAUACAAAAAUGGAGGGAAUUAUUUUAAGGAAGUGGGAGAGCAACUGACAUAUAUGUGCAUUUGUGUGUGUGUGGUUGUGUGGUUGUGUGGGUGUAGCUAAUGUUCUUUACUAGAGACAGGGAUUGUAAAGAUGUCAGUGAGGACAGAAUAGGACUCAGUAGAUAGGACUCUGGAGAACAUCUUGCCUGAAUCACCCACAAAUGAUAUUUAAUGUGCAGUAAAAUCUACUUAUUUUUAUCUUUCUACAAUAUUCUGUACAUUAGAGAUAACCAUAUAGUAAGCAUGUAGUUAAACUGUAUGUUUCUAUAACAUUCAUUUCAAGUAGCAAUGCAGAGUUGGAAUUAUUUGGGUAAUAACAAUCAACCACAAAAGUAAAGCCCGCAAAGUUCUUUUGGUUGUUUUUGCUUUACUUUUUGACAAGCAUCUGUAUAUUAUGGAUGAAAAUAAAUACCUAAAAGAGCUGGCUUGGCACAAGUGAAAUAUUUAAGUCAAAUAUCUGAUAGUUGAUUUGUUUAACUAUAGGUCUUGACCUGUAAAGGUCAGGGAUGUGCUUUCUUACUUACAACUGUCCAUUUUCUAUUCUUCAAACCCCAGUUCAAAGCCCACUCGCUCCAGCAAGCUUCCCCAUUGCCCAAAGGCAAGAUGAACCUGCCUGUCCUCUGGGCUUUCACAUCGAAGCCCUGGGCUUCAACCUCAUCUGGGGACACAUCUACUUUGGCAGAGAGAAGACACAUUACUCUACAAUCAGUUCACUGUUCCAACAAUACCUGGGUGAAUGGACCAUACUCAAUAAUGUCACAUGCAAGAUAGGACCAUCAACAAGAUAGUCAGGUAGUCCAUCCAGCGUCAAGGCUUGGCAAGCCCCUGGUGGGAGCUUGGAAAGUAUGCAGUAUAUAUGAAAAGAUACUGCCACACCUUGGUUUUUUAUGACAAGGAGAAGAUUGUAGAUGUUAUUGAUAAGUGUUAUUUAAAAUGCUCUAAGCUCAUUCAGUGAGACUUGGUGAUAAGGCUCAUAGUACUGAGUGUGCAGGAACAGAACAGCAGAAGGGAGCCCAAGGCCUGCCAGUGACUGAUUUUGUGAUAUUGAGGAAGUCACCUGAACCUCAGUUUUGCCGUCUGUGAAGUGGAGAUGAUGCUGUCUCACUGACAGAGUUGUAAGGGAUCCAGUGGAAUAACCCAUGGAAAUCACAAAGGACGUGCCCAGCGCAUCGUACCUUCCGAAGCAUUUAACAAAUAUUGGUUUAUGGAAACGGGCUUUGAAAAUAGUACAAAGCUGUACACAUCAAACAUUACCAUUAUUAAAUGUGAUGAUUAUUCAGUAUAAAAUGUUAGGAACUUAUAUUUGGGUAAGGUAGCUUGAAUAAAUGGUUACAAUUCGUACAUGUCUGUAAUAAUGUUUUUAUAAGAUUGAUAGUCAAUCCUCUAAACCUUUAGUUUCUUUUUUUCUAUUAGGAAUGUCACAGAUGUU
Equus caballus (horse) is the source of this 5501-nucleotide non-coding RNA. The record is from RefSeq and is a predicted model, not a curated record. Lineage: Eukaryota; Metazoa; Chordata; Mammalia; Perissodactyla; Equidae.